ACGAACGCUGGCGGCGUGCUUAACACAUGCAAGUCGAGCGGAAAGGCCCUGCUUUUGUGGGGUGCUCGAGUGGCGAACGGGUGAGUAACCCGUGAGUAACCUGCCCUUGACUUUGGGAUAACUUCAGGAAACUGGGGCUAAUACCGGAUAGGCGCUCCUGCUGCAUGGUGGGGGUUGGAAAGUUUCGGCGGUUGGGGAUGGACUCGCGGCUUAUCAGCUUGUUGGUGGGGUAGUGGCUUACCAAGGCUUUGACGGGUAGCCGGCCUGAGAGGGUGACCGGCCACAUGGGGACGGAGAUACGGCCCAGACUCCUACGGGAGGCAGCAGUGGGGAAUAUUGCACAAUGGGCGGAAGCCUGAUGCAGCAACGCCGCGUGCGGGAUGACGGCCGUCGGGUUGUAAACCGCUUUCGCCUGUGACGAAGCGUGAGUGACGGUAAUGGGUAAAGAAGCACCGGCUAACUACGUG
RNAcentral lists this ribosomal RNA (467 nucleotides) under uncultured bacterium. RNAcentral's name for it is "partial 16S ribosomal RNA". It matches the Rfam family "Bacterial small subunit ribosomal RNA", at positions 29 to 507 of the family's 1533-position model. The record is from RNAcentral.